RNAcentral lists this unclassified non-coding RNA (365 nucleotides) under plant metagenome. RNAcentral's name for it is "partial contains 5.8S ribosomal RNA, internal transcribed spacer 2, and large subunit ribosomal RNA". The stretch from base 1 to 105 matches the Rfam family "5.8S ribosomal RNA", at positions 50 to 154 of the family's 154-position model. The record is from RNAcentral.
GAAAUGCGAUAACUAGUGUGAAUUGCAGAAUUCAGUGAAUCAUCGAGUCUUUGAACGCAUAUUGCGCCCGUCGGUAUUCCGGCGGGCAUACCUGUUCGAGCGUCAUCACACCAGUCAGACCGGCCUCGGUUUGGUGUUGGGUCUCAUCUCGUCUGCCCCGAACCGCGUGGGAGGACGGACCCUAAAUUGCUGUCCCCGGCGGCCGAUAUUAUCACAGCCCGGAACGCGUCGUAGUGCUUUGUAGCCUCGCGGCCGGGUCCGUCGGUGUAGCCGCGUGCAGAUAUAGGACGGCCUCCCCUUCGUGGCGGUCGGCCUAUACAGUUUUGACCUCGGAUCAGGUAGGGUUACCCGCUGAACUUAAGCAU